Long non-coding RNA from Chinchilla lanigera (long-tailed chinchilla), 824 nucleotides. RefSeq lists it as uncharacterized. Lineage: Eukaryota; Metazoa; Chordata; Mammalia; Rodentia; Chinchillidae. The transcript is spliced from 3 exons. The record is from RefSeq and is a predicted model, not a curated record.
AUUGGCUCAGAGGGAGUUUAAUGACUCUGCCAAGAUCUUAGUGCAAUCUGUACUUUCACUCUACAGGUUACACUUUAACAGAGCCCUGCUCUGUCUGGCUCUGUCUGCGCAGCACAGCCCUUUGGGGUACCCUGGUCCUCUGUGCUCCUCCUGUCCUCAGCGGAACUUGGCCCCUUCUUUGGAUCUGUGGCUGUCCUGGCAGGUGGGGACUCCUUCUCCAAAGAAGUCUGCAGUGAACCGAAGUCCAUCUUGCCGUCCAGCUACAAGCCUAUCAGAUGGCACCACCCACAAUCAGGAUGGGUUUUUGCCCCUCAGUUUGGUGGCCUGCCUGCCAGUCAUCUCUAGAAAUAGAGAGACACACCCAGAAGUGUGCUUCAAUAAUCUGCUAGAUGGGCCGAGUAUAUAUAUAUAUACAUACACAGCUCAAGGGCACAGCGCCUGCCUGGAAUAAGCCAGUAGGAGCCAGAGGACAGCACUCCAGAGCAAGUGUGAGGAAACUUAUGCACAUCCCCAUUUUUCCUCUUAAUCCCACUGUGGUCUGACAGCCAGUUCCUGACGCGAGUCCCUGACAGCGUGAUCAGGGGAUGAUAGGUCUCUGGGCUCCUCUCCUGUGCUGAGUGUUGAUGAUCUUGCAGAGUCCCUGCUUCCACUUCUCAGAAGAAGUGAAAAUUUACAUGCAGUAGUUCAUCCACCCCAGACUUCUUCAAUAUGGAGCUCUACUCCGAGGAAACACAGUUUUCCCACUCAUUCUGGUUAAACAGUUUGCAACAUGAGGGGUGCAGACCCUGUUUCUCUAUCAAAUACAUUUGAAUCCAUCCUAUUCA